Molecule: ribosomal RNA, 495 nt
Filed under: uncultured bacterium
Lineage: Bacteria
Description: partial 16S ribosomal RNA
Rfam family: Bacterial small subunit ribosomal RNA
Source: RNAcentral
GACGAACGCUGGCGGCGUGCCUAAUACAUGCAAGUAGAACGCUGAAGGAGGAGCUUGCUUCUCUGGAUGAGUUGCGAACGGGUGAGUAACGCGUAGGUAACCUGCCUGGUAGCGGGGGAUAACUAUUGGAAACGAUAGCUAAUACCGCAUAAUAGUAGAUGUUGCAUGACAUUUGCUUAAAAGGUGCAAUUGCAUCACUACCAGAUGGACCUGCGUUGUAUUAGCUAGUUGGUGGGGUAACGGCUCACCAAGGCGACGAUACAUAGCCGACCUGAGAGGGUGAUCGGCCACACUGGGACUGAGACACGGCCCAGACUCCUACGGGAGGCAGCAGUAGGGAAUCUUCGGCAAUGGACGGAAGUCUGACCGAGCAACGCCGAGUGAGUGAAGAAGGUUUUCGGAUCGUAAAGCUCUGUUGUAAGAGAAGAACGAGUGUGAGAGUGGAAAGUUCACACUGUGACGGUAUCUUACCAGAAAGGGACGGCUAACUACGUG